GAUGAACGCUGGCGGCGUGCCUAGUACAUGCAAGUCGAGCGAACAGACGAGGAGCUUGCUCCUCUGACGUUAGCGGCGGACGGGUGAGUAACACGUGGAUAACCUACCUAUAAGACUGGGAUAACUUCGGGAAACCGGAGCUAAUACCGGAUAAUAUAUUGAACCGCAUGGUUCAAUAGUGAAAGACGGUUUUGCUGUCACUUAUAGAUGGAUCCGCGCCGCAUUAGCUAGUUGGUAAGGUAACGGCUUACCAAGGCAACGAUGCGUAGCCGACCUGAGGGGGUGAUCGGCCACACUGGAACUGAGACACGGUCCAGACUCCUACGGGAGGCAGCAGUAGGGAAUCUUCCGCAAUGGGCGAAAGCUUGACGGAGCAACGCCGCGUGAGUGAUGAAGGUCUUCGGAUCGUAAAACUCUGUUAUUAGGGAAGAACAAAUGUGUAAGUAACUAUGCACGUCUUGUCGGUACCUAAUCAGAAAGCCACGGCUAACUACGUG
This 497-nucleotide ribosomal RNA is filed under the name uncultured bacterium. RNAcentral describes it as "partial 16S ribosomal RNA". It matches the Rfam family "Bacterial small subunit ribosomal RNA", at positions 28 to 507 of the family's 1533-position model. The record is from RNAcentral.